Long non-coding RNA from Sorghum bicolor (sorghum), 4196 nucleotides. RefSeq lists it as uncharacterized. The transcript has 2 exons. The record is from RefSeq and is a predicted model, not a curated record. Lineage: Eukaryota; Viridiplantae; Streptophyta; Magnoliopsida; Poales; Poaceae.
CUUGUGAUUGUUUGAGACACAUGUUGAAUCUUCAUGGGGUUCUUUAGGAGAGGAGUUAAUUGCGUGAAAUGGGAUCUAACAAGGACAGAUCGACCAUAAAAAAAUUAGAUGUCACAAUAGAAUGCAUGGUUGGUAGAAUCUAAGCCUUUAUUCUGAUAGUGUGGAUGAUAUGAACAGAGUUCCUGCCUCGUCUAGGGCGUAGGUUGUAGGAGUGGAGGAUCAGAGGGAGAGGUUUGAAGGUGGAAGAACAAUGGCGAGGAGCCGUCGUGAGCAGCGAGAGCGAGGGGCGCGCGUGCGCUGUGUGUAGGAGGAGAGGACGGCUAGGGUUUGAUCUCCCGGCUCUCUUCAGGAAGCUGGAAACAAUUGAAUGUUUCUGCUUAAUUCCAAAUCUAUCCACUUACAAAGUAUUUAUACUCAUGUCAUAAGAAUAUGCAAAUAACCCCUCUAAUUAUUGGAAAUAUGACUGAUAUGGUCCUAAGACCCCCCUAGGCCGGCGCCCCUUUAGCCACUGCUGGCGUUUCGCCUAUUGUAGUGGAUGCCGGUCAUAACAUCUCUCCCCGCUUGCGCAAACAGCUCGUCCUCGAGCUGGAAGUCGGGGUAAGAGGCACGAAGGUCAUCAAGAGGCUCCCAAGUGGUGUCAUCAUCCGGUAAGCCACGCCACUUGAUCAAGACAUGCCAGACACCAGUUGUUGUGCCUUGAGAGCGCGUUCCGAGUCUGGAAGAUGGUGGCCAUCGAGGACGGGGGGUAGGACGCCUGGCGCGGCCGGUGGCUCCCCACGAUGAUGCUUCAUGAGGUCCACGUGGAAGACGUCAUGGAGGCGGGAGCCCUCUGGAAAUUCCAGUCGGUAGGCCGCCAACCCGAUGCGCCCCAACACCUAGAAAGGCACGGCGUAUCGAGGCUCCAGCUUCCCUUUGGCGUGGGGAUCUAGGGAUUGAGUGGUUCGAUUGAGGAGCCGGAGCCACACCCAGUCGCCCACUUGCAACUCCAGCUCCCGAUGCGAGGCGUCGUAGUACUUCUUGGACAACUGCUGCGCCUGGACGAGACGCUGGCGCACCUCUGUCAGCACCUCGUCACGGGAGCGAAGGAGAACAUCUGUCGUCUCGGUCUUGUCCGUGCCCGGCCGGUACGAUAGGAUGGGCGGGGGUGGCCGCCCAUAGACAACCUCAAAUGGCAUGGCACGGAGGAUGGAGUGGAAGGACGUGUUGUAGCAGUACUCCACCUAGGAAAGCCAAUCAACCCAAGCGCGCGAUCGGUCACCUGUGACACAGUGUAAGUACAUAGCGAUCACCUUGUUCACCACCUCAGACUGGCCAUUCGUUUGGGGAUGGAAGGCCAUGCUCAGGGGAAGUGUGACACCCACCAGCUUGAAGAGAUCGCGCCACACAUGCCCUAUGAACAUAGGGUCCCGAUCAGUGAAGAUGGACGUCGGGAACUCGUGGAGGCGAACGAUGCCGUCGAAGAAAGCACGCACAACUGAGGUGGCGUGUAGGGGUGGCUCACUGCAAUGAAAUGCGCAUACUUGGAGAACCUGUCAACCACCGUGAGUAUGACGGACUUGCCGCCAACCUUCGACAGCCCCUCGAUGAAGUCCAUCGAGAUAUCCGCCCAGACCUAGGACGAGACGUCGAGGGACUACAACAGCCUCGCAGGCUGCAGCGUCUCUAUCUUGUUGCGCAGGAAGGUGGCACAAGAACACACCUAGUCCUAAACCAAUGCACGAUCGCCUGGGAUGUAGAUGUCGGCGUGGAGGCGAUGCAGAGUCUUCUAGACACACUCGUGCCCAACCGAGUGGGCCAAGAGGCGGACCUGGUGCUGGAAAUCGCCGUGAUUGGGCACAAAUAUGCGAGAGCCUUGGAGGAGCAAACCGCCCCCAAGGCGCCAGGGGGCGGCCAAGUCACCCGCCUGCAGGCAGCAUGCCAGUAGUUGGGCGUCUGGCACCGCGGCGCGGCAGAUGUCAUCAAGGAAGGCAAAUGAAGGGCCGAAGACGGCGAGGGCAGCGCUUGCUGCCGCCGUAGGCACGUCAUCAGAACCGCUGUCACGGCAGGACAAAGCUUUGCAACUGUGUUGAGACGCUUGGGCUGGUACUCAACAUCGAAACCAAAGCCGAACAGCUUGCUAAUCCAUUGGUGCUGGGGAACAGUUGACAAACGUUGGUCAAGUAAAAAUUUGAGACUGUAAUGGUCGAGGCGAACCAGGAAGUGGCGCCUCCACAAGUAUGGCCACCAAUGCCGAACGGCCUGUACUAAGCCGAUGAGCUCCCGUUCAUACGCGGCGAGCAGCGAACAACCGGCUGAAGUAGGCGACCAGACCAACGCCCUGGUGUAGGACUGCGCCAAACCUAGCAAUUGAGGCGUCACAAUACACCAUGAAGACGCUGUCGAAACCGGCAUCUGAAGCACGGGCCUUGUGGUCAACGCCUACUUGAGCACCUGGAAGGCACCCGCCGCCUCAUCGUCCCACAGGAAAGUAUCUCACCGCAAGAGACGCGUCAGCAGGGCAGGAAUAAGGCUGAAGUCCCAGAUAAACUUCCAGUAAUAACUGGCAAGCCCUAAGAAGACGCAGAGGCCGCGCGCCGAGUGCUGUGUCAACCAUGCAGAGACCACCUGCACCUUGUCCGCAUCCAUGGCGACGCCAUCUGUCGAUAUGACGUGGCCGAGAUAGGCCACAGAGGUGGCGCCAAACGAACACUUGGAGCGCUUCAGGUGGAGGUGGUGCACUCGAAGUGCUGUGAGGACAGCGCCCAUGUCAGUGGCGGAUCUAGGAUUUUAAUCAUGGGGGUACGAACGAAAAUGAUAUAGUUCAUCGAUAUGAACAUAACAUAAUUAGAUCACUAAACGGUGAUAAAAUAGUUGUGAAUAUAUAGUGUUAAGGUUGUUAUAUAAGCUGAGUAGACUAGCAAUUAUGUAUAACAAUGUAUUAUACAUGUAUAUAUUAUUAAAGAGUAUACAUAUUAAAUGUUUUUCAAAAAAAUUUGGGGGGACAGCUGUCCCCCCAUGCUACUACUCUAGAACCGCCCCUGGCCCAUGUGCUGUAGGUGUUCUGCCCAGGAGGAACUGUAAAUAAGAAUGUCAUCGAAAAUCACCAGUACAACCUGGCGUAAGUUGGGGCGCAGGACGUCGUUCAUCCGCACCUGAAAAGUGGUUGUAGCGUUGGAAAGCCCAAACGGCAUGAUGAAGAACUCGUAGUGCCCCUGAUGUGUACGGAAGGCGGUCUUGGCGACGUCAUCGGGGUGCAUCUGAACCUGGUGGUAGCUCGAGCGUAAGUCAAGCUUGGUGAAGAACCGAGCCCCUUGGAGUUCAUCUAGGAGCUCAUCCUCCACCAGGAUGAUCCUGACAUGUCGGCGGCCACGGACGUAGGUAGGGCUAGGUCAGGAGUUGGCAGCGAGGGCUGCGGUGGUGGUGGCGGCGGGUAGGGGCAUUGGAGGCUGGAAGGACUACGGGUACGAGAGCUGUGGCGGCGACGCAUAGGAGUGCGGAUAAGAGGGCGGCGGUGGCGCGUAGUGGGCGAUCAGCAGCGGCUGCAUGGCGUGCCGCAUCUCCGCCAUGGCAUGCGAGAUGUCGAUGACUGCGGCUCCCGCCUGCUCUAGGGUGAAGACAGCGGUAGGUGCGCCGGUGGCUGGCUGCGAUCCCUAGGGCUGCGCAGCAUGGAUUAGGGGUAGAGUGGUCGACGAAGGGGACAGUGCAGCGGUGCUGACCGCCGGCGUAGCGGACGACGUCGACGACGGUGGAGUAAGGGAGGCUGUGGGUCGGGGACCUGUCAUUGCCGAUACCAGAUUGAUACGAACGGAGUUCUUGCCUCGUCUAGGGUGUAGGUUGUAGGACUGGAGGAUCAGAGGGAGAGGUUUGAAGGUGGAAGAACUACGGUGAGGAGCUGUCGUGAGCAGCGAGAGCGAGGGGCGCGCGUGUGCUGCGUGCAGGAGGAGAGGGUGGCUAGGGUUUGAUCUCCGGGUUCCCUUCAGGAAGCCAGAAACAAUUGAAUGUUUCUGCUUAAUUCCAAAUCUGUCCACUUACAAAGUAUUUAUACUCCUAUCAUAAGAAUAUGCAAAUAACCCCUCUAAUUAUCGGAAAUACGACUGAUAUGGUCCUAAUAAGACCCCCUAGGCCUGCGCCCCUUUAGCCACUGCUGGUCUUUCUCCGAUUGUAGUGUACGCCGGUCAUAACAAUGGAUAUAAUCUUUAAUGGUGUGUUUGGUUUGA